RNAcentral lists this long non-coding RNA (1927 nucleotides) under Paramuricea clavata. Lineage: Eukaryota; Metazoa; Cnidaria; Anthozoa; Malacalcyonacea; Plexauridae. The record is from RNAcentral.
GAGACUUUUUAAAAGCGGAAAUGUCAAAUUUAUAUUUUGAAUUUUAUUAGAAUACACAGGAUAAAUCACAAGAAAUAGGCGCCCGAAGUUCGCCAAAACCUCUCUUUAGAUUUUAUUGAAAAUGGUGGACGUGAAGGAUUAUAACGUGGUCGUAUUGGGGUUGUCUUUUAUGUUCAUAUUUACGGCGUUUCAAACAACUUCUAUGAUAGAGGUAUAAACCUGUAUAGUUUAAUUCAUAAUUUCUGAUAAAACAUUGCGUAAAAUACGACGAAUUGCACUGUUUGCAGUAGUUUUUGUUUUGUUUGAUGUUAGUUUAUUCAUGUGGCCAAAAAUACAGAAUUAUUUUUUGGGAUUGUAAUUUUGAAAAUCACGAGUUAAUCACGAGACCAGAUCCUAAGGGGGUGAGGGGUUCAGUGUCCAUACUGCACUCGACCUUGAAAUGCAAAAAAUUUUACCUUCAAUCAAAACAUUUUUACAUCCUGUAAGGCAUGCCACAACCCACUUAUGUCUUUUGUAUGAUAUACAUACAACCAUGAACCAUCCAUGAAUCUGUGAUGCAUAUCAUACAGGCAUACUUUUUAUUUGUGAGGAAAUGACAGUCACCCCCUCACCCUAACACAAACAUUCCAAGUUGUUCUGGUUUUCAGAUGAAAUAUGUGCUUCCAGAAAGUACGUCAUCUUGGCCAUAGAUGCAGUACUAUUUGAUUUACUUUGUAUAAUUUAGUCGGCAUGUACUAAAACCCGAAACAACCGGAAUGAAACCACCGGAACGAAACCACCGGAAUGACCGGAACAAGAAUCUGAAAUGACCGGAACCACCGAAACCAAAAUUGAACACGAUCGGAACAAAGUAGUAGAACACUAAAUAACUAUCGUUCCGAUCGUGUUCGAUUUUGGUUUCAGUGGUUCCGGUCAUUUCCGAUUCUUGUUCCAGUCGUUCCUGUGGUUUCGUUCUGGUGGUUUCGUUCCGGUUGUUUCGGGUUUUGGUACAUGCCAAUUUAGUCUAGCACAUCUAAAGUAUUGCCAUUUAAUUUAAGUGUUACAACAUAAAUCGCUUUAUAUUUUCAAUAGGAGAGCAUAUUAAAAAGUGCAAAAAAUGAAAGUGUACCUCCUAGUGCAUUUAAAGGCAAGUUGAAAUUACCAUGCAUUUUACUAAAUGUGUUGUGCAUUUUAUUGAAUUAAAUCAAAGUAACCCUACUUUGAUUUUUAUUUUUCUGUUUCCAGCAAGUGGAUAUAACAGGUACUGUAAAUUUACAUGUUGUUUAAUUUAAUAUCAUGAACUAUUUCAUCAUGUUCCUCUGCUUAUCCCCCAUCCCAUCCUCAAAGAUAUGAAAAACUAGGUUUUUUCAAGCAGGACAACAAAUUUUUUGUUGCAUUCUGCAGUGUUAAAACAAUAUGAAUAAUUGCUGAAGUGACCAAGAUGACCGAGAUUUUUUUACAUUCAGAAAGACCAAUCUUUCUGAAUGUGAAAAAUCUUGGUCAUCUCGAUAGCUAUUGAAUGAUAUGUUCUUCAUGCCAAAUGGAUAAAAAAUGAGCAAAUACGAGUCCGAUAAAAAACGUUAGUCAGAAUCGCAUAUUUUCACCUUUGAGAGUUGGAUCUAAAACCAUUGAAAAUUAACCCCCUUUGGGAUUAAGUUGAUGAAAAUUCACUUCAGUAAUUAAACUACGCACAUAUUCAUAAUUAUUAUUAAAUUAAGUAGGAAUAAAUUUUAGCUAAGCUACCCGGUACGACAAGUUUGUGAUUUAAUUGCUUUUCUUUUGUUAUGUAAGUCCUGCUUUAAUUCGGCACAGAGGUGAAAAUAUGCGAUUCUGACUAACAUUUUUUAUCGGACUCGUACUUGCUUAUUUUUUCUCCACUUGGCAUGAAAAACAUGUCAUUCAAUAGCUAAAAGCCUAAUCUUUCCGAAUAUGAAAAAAUGUUCAUGUG